RNAcentral lists this ribosomal RNA (253 nucleotides) under uncultured bacterium. RNAcentral's name for it is "partial 16S ribosomal RNA". It matches the Rfam family "Bacterial small subunit ribosomal RNA", at positions 524 to 776 of the family's 1533-position model. The record is from RNAcentral.
UACGGAGGGUGCAAGCGUUAUCCGGAUUCACUGGGUUUAAAGGGUGCGUAGGAGGGCAGGUAAGUCCGUGGUGAAAUCUCUGAGCUUAACUCAGAAACUGCCGUGGAUACUACCGGUCUUGAAUACCGUGGAGGUGAGCGGAAUAUGUCAUGUAGCGGUGAAAUGCUUAGAUAUGACAUAGAACACCAAUUGCGAAGGCAGCUCACUACACAAUCAUUGACGCUGAGGCACGAAAGCGUGGGGAUCGAACAGG